Molecule: long non-coding RNA, 3565 nt
Organism: Morone saxatilis (striped sea-bass)
Lineage: Eukaryota; Metazoa; Chordata; Actinopteri; Moronidae
Exons: 2
Source: RefSeq, a predicted model, not a curated record
UCCAUUCUGGAAGAGACAGGCGGGACAAACAGGGAGACGGGAGUGAGAGGCCAGGGAGCCUGCUGGCUGCUGCUGCCAUGCUGCAGCCUCGACAUUAUGAGCAGGGUAUUCCCAAACAGCUGGAAGGAGCUGAUAUAUGGUGCUGCGCCCUCGUGCUGGGCCCUCCCCAAAAUGGACCGGUGCUAAGUGGUAACCUGGUUAUUUUCAGCGCGUCACUGGCUCGACUCCAGUUAUAGGUUUCCGUCGGGGGGUCGCAGCCGCGUGGCCCCCGUAUUUCCAAUUAUUCUAAAAAAGACGGACUUAAAAAAAAAAAAAACGGCCAAGAGCACUACACAGAGUAAUGUCCGAGCAUGUGUGUUUGCCUGUCACACACAUUCCUGCGGUGUGUUGGCUCGCCCGUCCAACAUGCGCCACACACACACACACACACCGUGGCCGCACUCAGCUGCGUCUCCGGCGGCUCCGGGGCGGCGAGUCUGCGGCUCUCUCAAGGUGUUCCCCUCUUUUAUCGAUGCUGUUCAGCGGGCUAUAUACAUCCCAGGUUCAUCACACCUCUCAUGUUACCUCCCUGACCAGCAACAUGUUAGUGUGCCGCGACCCCUGGUGGCAGUGACGCGCCACGACGCUCUGCUACGUGCGUGUGUGUCAAACACAACCUUUAUUGUUUUGUUUGCGCGAUCACGUGAAGUUGCACAUCGGGGGUUAAUUACAGCGAGACAAAUGGAUUCUUCUCAGCUUAUUUUAUAAGUGGCUUCGUUACAUAUUUUAUAUUGAGUCAGAAAGGUUUCUAUUUAUUUGUUUCUAUAUUGUUUUGUUAAGUUAUGUGCUCCAUAACUUGACUUUUUUUUUUCUACUCCAUAUUCUCAUCGUAUUCUUUACAUUAUUUUCUGUCCAUUUAUCUAACAUUGCAGUAUAUUAUGUUCUAUUUUAUUCUUUUAUUUCUGCUAUUAAGCAUUUUAUUCUACUAUAUUGUGAUCUAUUCUGCUAUUUAUUUAUUUUUUGCCGUUUUUCUAUUUUCUAUUUUAUUGUGAUAUGUUGUAUAUCUACUGUGAUAUUACCAUUAUUUUAUUUUAGGUUAUUUUGCAUCCUUUUUCUUUUUCUUUUCCUUUUCUAUUCUCGAGGUCAUGCUCUACUUUUACUGCCUGUGCUGACGUUCUCAUAUGGCAUCAGUCAGCUGCUUCAUGUGGACAAGAAACCCACAAUAACGCCGGAAAUUAGGAAAUUUCUUAUCAAAAUAAAACGACCGAACUGACACUUUGUCCUGAAGGUCUCAUUAUUUAUUUGUACACCAAUUGUAACCAUUUAAGUGGUGUCGUAUUCCUCCUUCAAUGCACCCUCUUUUUCUCUUGGACACUUUCUGCGACUAAAAUAUGAAGUAGGCGAUAUUAAUAGAGAAUCAUUUUAUAUUUUAAGGGGUUUGUCCGGAAGCUGUGUGUCGGAUUCAGGCUGACUUGACAUCAAGUAGCAAUGUCCGACUUUGUACCUGACAGGAACAGCCCGGUUUCUCCUAAACAAGACAUCUCAUUACUCCAGCAACAGCAGGACGGAUGUUCAGCAUCAUCUGCAUCAUCACAUUAACGUCUGACAGCCGUCGUGCAGUGGGGCCAAUAAGCAGCGGACGCGGCUGGCGCCCGGCUGCAGGCAGCCCUCUCAAUGGUCUCUCCCACUAUGAAAGCGUUGGUGGAUGCUGUAUGGGCAGUGUGGAGCAUCGGAGCCUCCAUUUAUGACUACAUCCACACCAACGCCAUGGAGGAGCGCAUCCACGCCCUGGAGAACGUCAUCACCAUCCACCAGUGUGUGAUUGGGCUGCUGUCUGCAGGCGUAGUGGUACUCUUCUCCUACAUCCUCUUCAAGAAGCUGUAAAGAUGUGUGAAGGGGUGGGGAAAGCAAACACUCACCAGAUAGACAGAGGGGAUUUAUUUUUUUUUUUACAUGUUGGGUACAUUAGUCACCUGGAGGGUAUAUCCAACACAUACCAGGGCACACUGUCUUUAUUCAAGGUAAAUGCCAGGUUGGUGGUCGAUAAGACAUUAAAUUACUUUUUUAACAUCAGUUUAGUGUCACAUUUUAUCCUAAAUUUUGGGGAAAACCCAUUGAGGUUCAUGUCCUCUAUCAGUAAGAUAGUGGAGGAGGUGAGCAUGUGAAGCAAAAGGGUCCAGCUUUUUGUUAAAGGCGGAUAUAGAUAAUUUUUCUACUGAUAGUGACAGAUUUUAUGUGGCAGUAUUCAGUAUCUUUUAAAUUAAAUUUUGAUUCAAUGCUUAAUUUUUAAUGGCUUAACUGCCAAAUGAUUCAUCUGUAUGUCCCCAACACAUUUGAACUAUUUGAUAGAUAAAAUUCAGCACAGGCACUCCAACAACUAGCCAAUUUGCACAUUUCUGAAUAGCCCUAGUAGCUCAGUUUAUCAUCCAACACUACCAGAAUCCUCUACACACACUGUAGCCGCAGUGCGUGUCAGUACUACUUCAAACUCCAUUCACAUAGAGAAGUCUUCAGCUGACAUUAUGUGUCUGGAAUUGCCUCUUAAACAUAAUUCACAAAUUUUCUAUAGGGAUAAUUAUUGAAAAUAAUAAUUCGCCAAAACAACUUCUGCCUUAUAACACAUUGUUUUCACUCUUUUCAUCUUUUCUUGUUUGCACUAAUUUCCUCAAAGCCUGACUGAGAUACCAGGAGAAAGCGAAUUGCCCUGAAACUAGUGUCUGUGAAAAACAAUAAUUGGAGAGUGCCGAGGUACUUAAUAUCUCUGAGUGUAAUUUCUGUAAAUGCAGUUAACUCAUAUCAUACUACUCAUAUCUGGCCCCAUGGUUCUGAACAUCUGUAAGCAUUGUUCAUAUUGUCUUUGAGUAUCAGAUGAGUGAAAAGACAUUGUAAAAUCCCUUGUGAUACAAUUUUAUAGGUCUACUUGUGUAUCAUCUAUAUUAGAUCUUACAGUGCAACAUCGUGAUCCAUUUAUAUAAUGCUUUUUUUUAUGUUAUACCUCAUAGCUGUCAUAACACUGUAGGUGCCACCACUGUAUUAAACUAUUUGAAGUGUCCUUAAAAAACUGUAAAUAUAUUUAGAUGUUUAUGAAGUUUUUCAGCUGGUCAUUGAAACAUUUCAUAGAUGUACAACUAUCCCAUAGUAAUACUGCUGCUUAAUAUUUAUUGUUUUGUUAUUUAAAGGCAACAUUUUGUACAAUGAAUGGUGGGAACUGAAAUGAGACGCCACUUGAUACCGACUGCAAACAUUGGAUCAAUGUUUGAAAUGAGAAUUUUAGAGGAUAAAGUAUGUGUUUUUGUCAUAGUAAUGUAAAUUAACUUCACUAACCUGCCAAGAGAAUUGUUUAAAUAAUUGGUGGGUCAUUGAAAGCUUUUGCCGUAAGAGUCCUGAGUUUAGAAAAGAGUGUGUGUGUGGUGUGUGUGUGAGUGUGUGUGGUGUGGUUUGUGGUUUGUUUCUGUGUGUGUUUAUCUGUGUACAUUUUGUUAUGUCUCAGAGGGACCACAGCAGAGAAACAGAACCCCAGAAUGAAUAACUGUUUUAAUAUAACAGCAUCAAAGUUUGUAUCAAAUAAAUGUGGAAUUCAAUUCAA